GCCGGGGUGGCGGAAUUGGUAGACGCACAGGACUUAAAAUCCUGAGCUCCGCAAGGAGCGUGCCGGUUCAAGUCCGGCCCUCGGUA
Molecule: transfer RNA, 86 nt
Filed under: Bacteroidota bacterium
Lineage: Bacteria; Pseudomonadati; Bacteroidota
Description: tRNA-Leu
Rfam family: tRNA
About the family: Transfer RNA (tRNA) molecules are approximately 80 nucleotides in length.
Source: RNAcentral